RNAcentral lists this ribosomal RNA (253 nucleotides) under uncultured bacterium. RNAcentral's name for it is "partial 16S ribosomal RNA". It matches the Rfam family "Bacterial small subunit ribosomal RNA", at positions 524 to 776 of the family's 1533-position model. The record is from RNAcentral.
UACGGGGGGGGCAAGCGUUGUUCGGAAUUACUGGGCGUAAAGAGCUCGUAGGCGGCCUGUUGCGUCCGCUGUGAAAGCCCGGGGCUUAACCCCGGGUCGGCAGUGGAUACGGGCAGGCUAGAGGUAGGUAGGGGAGAAUGGAAUUCCCGGUGUAGCGGUGAAAUGCGCAGAUAUCAGGAGGAACACCAAUGGCGAAGGCAGCUCGCUGGGACGGUACUGACGCUGAGACGCGAAAGCGUGGGGAGCAAACAGG